Molecule: ribosomal RNA, 497 nt
Filed under: uncultured bacterium
Lineage: Bacteria
Description: partial 16S ribosomal RNA
Rfam family: Bacterial small subunit ribosomal RNA
Source: RNAcentral
GAUGAACACUGGCGGCGUGCCUAAUACAUGCAAGUCGAGCGAACAGACGAGGAGCUUGCUCCUCUGACGUUAGCGGCGGACGGGUGAGUAACACGUGGAUAACCUACCUAUAAGACUGGGAUAACUUCGGGAAACCGGAGCUAAUACCGGAUAAUAUAUUGAACCGCAUGGUUCAAUAGUGAAAGACGGUUUUGCUGUCACUUAUAGAUGGAUCCGCGCCGCAUUAGCUAGUUGGUAAGGUAACGGCUUACCAAGGCAACGAUGCGUAGCCGACCUGAGAGGGUGAUAGGCCACACUGGAACUGAGACACGGUCAAGACUCCUACGGGAGGCAGCAGUAGGGAAUCUUCCGCAAUGGGCGAAAGCUUGACGGAGCAACGCCGCGUGAGUGAUGAAGGUCUUCGGAUCGUAAAACUCUGUUAUUAGGGAAGAACAAAUGUGUAAGUAACUAUGCACGUCUUGACGGUACCUAAUCAGAAAGCCACGGCUAACUACGUG